GAGUUUGAUUCCUGGCUCAGGAUGAACGCUAGCUACAGGCUUAACACAUGCAAGUCGAGGGGGAAACGACGAAUCGAAAGCCUGCUUUUGAUUGGGCGUCGACCGGCGCACGGGUGAGUAACGCGUAUCCAACCUGCCCAUCACUUGGGGAUAACCUUGCGAAAGUAAGACUAAUACCCAAUGACGUCUCUAGAAGACAUCUGAAAGAGAUUAAAGAUUUAUCGGUGAUGGAUGGGGAUGCGUCUGAUUAGCUUGUUGGCGGGGUAACGGCCACCAAGGCGACGAUCAGUAGGGGUUCUGAGAGGAAGGUCCCCCANAUUGGAACUGAGACACGGUCCAAACUCCUACGGGAGGCA
This 356-nucleotide ribosomal RNA is filed under the name uncultured bacterium. RNAcentral's name for it is "bacterial SSU rRNA". It matches the Rfam family "Bacterial small subunit ribosomal RNA", at positions 9 to 350 of the family's 1533-position model. The record is from RNAcentral.